UGGGGAAUAUUGCACAAUGGACGAAAGUCUGAUGCAGCAAUGCCGCGUGUGUGAAGAAGGCCUUAGGGUUGUAAAGCACUUUCAGUAGGGAGGAAAAGUUCAAGAUUAAUACUCUUGGGCCCUGACGUUACCUACAGAAGAAGCACCGGCUAACUCCGUGCCAGCAGCCGCGGUAAUACGGAGGGUGCAAGCGUUAAUCGGAAUUACUGGGCGUAAAGCGCGCGUAGGCGGUUAAGUAAGUCAGAUGUGAAAGCCCCGGGCUCAACCUGGGAACUGCAUUUGAUACUGCUUAACUAGAGUGUGGUGGAGGAGAGUGGAAUUUCAGGUGUAGCGGUGAAAUGCGUAGAGAUCUGAAGGAACAUCAGUGGCGAAGGCGACUCUCUGGACCAACACUGACGCUGAGGUGCGAAAGCGUGGGUAGCAAACAGGAUUAGAUACCCUGGUAGUCCACGCCGUAAACGAUGUCAACUAACUGUUGGGCGGGUCUCCGCUUAGUGGUGCAGCUAACGCAAUAAGUUGACCGCCUGGGGAGUACGGCCGCAAGGCUA
RNAcentral lists this ribosomal RNA (548 nucleotides) under uncultured bacterium. RNAcentral describes it as "bacterial SSU rRNA". It matches the Rfam family "Bacterial small subunit ribosomal RNA", at positions 355 to 896 of the family's 1533-position model. The record is from RNAcentral.